UUAUUAUUUACUUAUUUAUUUAGAGACAAGACCUCACUACGUAAUUUAGGCUGGCCUUGAACUCACUAUGUAGCCCAAGCUGGCCUGGAACUUGUGGCAAUCCUCCUGCUUCAGCCUCCUGAGUACUGGGAUUAUCAGCAUGUGCCACCAUGUACGCCUCUUAAUUUACCAUUUUAAAUGCCACCUUUCUCACCCCACUGUUAAAUGUGAGAGAAAGAGGGACAUUUUGCCCAAGUGAGGGCAGUCAGCCUAGGAAAUCCAUUCAGGGUCUUUAUGAGGAAUGAUGGCGGCGCCAGCUGCAUUUCAGGUCGGGUCUGGAGCACAGAGAAACUGAAGAAAAGCCACAGCAAUGGCGCACGUGUGUGUCUUGUCUUUGGUGGAGGAGGAAAGUAGGAUGCAGACGCUGAGCCUACAGGAGUGGGUGAGCGCUGGGAUUUCUUGGUGCAGUGUACAGGGGCUGGAGUGUGAGGUCCCAGGCACUUCUCAGCGUGGGAAAGGUCAGAGAGGGAGGCCGGAGCCAGCCAAAGUUGGGGCUCAGGAGGAAGUUGGUGGAUGCAAGAGUGGGUGGUGGGUGGAGAAAAGAAGGUGAAGGUGAGGGGGGGCCCUGAUGGUGGACAGGGACCAAAUGUCCAUCAGCACCGGCUCACCGACUCUGGGGCGGGAGAGGCUCGCGCUGCCCGCAGAGCCCGCCCGCCCUGCGGCAGCAGCUGCCCCGGAGCGCGGCCCGGGCGCUCACCGGCGAGUAGCCGACGCCGCAGGGGCAGGGGGCGCGAGGGGCACCGGCUCCCCGCGGCCUCUGCCGGGCCUGCCGACCCCGGGGAGCGCCUGCCCUGGUGGAGCCGCUGGACACCUUCGUGCUGCUUCCUUCCUGUCAGGCAAGGCUUCCUCGUAAAGUGACGACGCGGCAGCGCGAUCGCCUUCCACGUCGGGGCUCCCCGCUCGCGGACUCGCACAGCCUCGGGCUGAGGGCGUGUGAGAAAACUGCCUCUUACUCCCCACGCAGCGCGGAGACCUGAGGGGAAAGCGGCCCUCACCCCGCUGCUGUGCUCCUCCCGCAGGGUCCAUCACAACCCGAACCCGAAGGGCCUGCCGGCCUCGCGCUCACUGCGGUGCGAGGUGGGAGCCGCCGGGCCAGUGGGCGCGGGUCCGGGUGAGCGGGCUGCAGACUGCGUCCUCGGCUUGGAGCCCGCGCCUGUCCGGGGCCGAGCGUCCCGUGCGACGGCCCUGACUGCUCGCUGGGGCCAGGUGAGCGGAAAGAAAAAGCACAGGCCCCGCUGGAACUCGAACCCAGGAUCUCCUGUUUACAAGACAGGCGCUUUAACCAGCUAAGCCACGGAGCCUGCCCCAGGAACUGCGGAAGGGCGCCGAUGCUUCCUCUGGCGCCGCUCGGGCCGCGCCGUCUCCAGGGCCCGGAGCGGCUCCGCGGGAGCCCGGUGCUCGGUCCCCUGUGCCCGGUGCUCGGUGCUCCGUGCUCGGUGCCAGGUUCAGGAGCCCGGAGCGCUGGGCUGUAGGAGCCGAGGCCGCCACCGCCUGCCAACGCGGCGCCGCCUCCUGAACACGCUUCCUGCCCGCCUGGCCUUGCGGAGGCCCCGGGUCUCCGACCCUGCUGCCCCGGGGUGCGCCCGGCCACCGGUCCGGUUACCUGGGUCUCCGGGCUGGGAAAGAAGGGAACACGUGUAGGGCCGAGGACAGGCAACGUCCAGGGUCCUCUGGAUUCUCAGCCUCGAGCCCCAAAUGCAUUCUUCGCGCAGGUGAUUGCAGAGCCGAGGGCGACCUCUCCUUCCGUGCCACCCGGGGAGGAGGAGACGUCCGUCCCGAGAGCUCACAGCCCAGGCGGGUCUACGGCCCGUGCCUCCGAUGUCAUGGUGAGAUCCAAACUGGUUACAGGCAGGGACUGCGAACUUUCAGAGACUGAUGAAAUAAGCACGUGUUACAAGAACAUUCAUACGGUUUGGUAAUCUAUUUGAAGCCAAUAACGGCUGCUUUAUAAACGGAACUGUAAACACUACAGAUGCUACAUUAUCAAACCUGAACUUCGGACCAAUGGCAGACUUCGGUGAAUGACCUCUGGAUUUUACCACGGAGACCAGGAGCGAUGCUGAGGCCCGACGGGGACGCCAGGAACUGGAAAAUUAAUGUUGAAGGCUCCAUUUGUAGUCACUGCCACAAAACAAAGUUCAAAUGUGGGGAAGAUGCGGGUGGAGAUCUGCCGGUCUGAGGAAGGAAACGUUUCCAGUCGGUAGACAGAUGCAUUGCCCAAAACUCGGCGCUGGGCUAACUGGACCUCUUCCAGGGAAAUAAAAGCAUAGCUCAGCAUGCCACCUAUGAUACUAAAAUAAAUUCCAAGUGGGCACAAACUCUGAAGGUAAAG
This 2371-nucleotide transfer RNA is filed under the name Heterocephalus glaber (naked mole-rat). Its description in RNAcentral is "lncRNA (ENSHGLG00100038641.1)". The record is from RNAcentral. Lineage: Eukaryota; Metazoa; Chordata; Mammalia; Rodentia; Bathyergidae.